This is a long non-coding RNA of Daphnia pulicaria, 1031 nucleotides long. RefSeq lists it as uncharacterized. The record is from RefSeq and is a predicted model, not a curated record. NCBI's taxonomy places the organism in Eukaryota, Metazoa, Arthropoda, Branchiopoda, Diplostraca, Daphniidae. The transcript is spliced from 6 exons.
AAUGCUGCUUCCCAAUUAUCAAUGGUCAUCAAAACCAACAGAAGAAAACAAAGAUUUAUCACAGAUAAGGUUUACCUCACCAACUGGGUGUUUUCCCUCUGCUUUCAGCAGUCCACUGUCCAGCACUGUUGCCCAGCUACUGAAACGUCUGGAAUCACUUGCAGACAACAUGAACAGAUAUCUGUUUUGAGUGCCUUCUGUCCUCAGUGUAGAAGUUAAAGUAGUGUUCAAUAUCACCUUGGGGAUUUCGUCUUUUGUGAUGUGUGAUGCUGCGUGGUGGCUUUUUGAUGAAUUUUGCAUGGAGAAUUACGAGAAUUUGUGUAAGGGGCAUGCAGCCUAGUGUCAACUAUUGUGUUAUAAAUCCUAGCACAGACUGAUCCUAGUAUCCUACUGAAUAUGUCAUUCAAAUGACAGAGAUCACCAACCCUAGAAUGGACAUUCUCUCAUUCCAUCUUCUAGAGAACCUUGGAUAACUGAUUGGUGGUUUUGUGUGUCUCUAAUCUUGCACGCCAGCCUUUAUGAGAAGUCAUGUCCUUUGAAGAAAAGGGACAAUGACUUUACAGUCAACAAGGUCCUUUGUUUGGUAACCCGUUGGCUGCUACCCUUGAACAUCCCUUUUUACUUCCUUAAACAGGCCCUCUUGAUUUGAGGGUAACUUCUUCGCUACUUAUCAUGGACUUCAUCCAUUGGUGAAAACUGAAAAGAGAAAGCUGUAAUUCAGAUGUCUAAGCCGGAAGCCCGAUAAGCUCUAAGCCUACUAUGGAUAAUCGCUCUCGUAAUAACUGUUCCUCACAUCUUCGCUCUUUUUCCGGUUUCUCUUAACCAUUUGCCAGGUAGUCAAUUAAGACAGUGAUGUCUCCCCCUGUCUUGAUUGUGUGCGAGUUUCAAAAGCAGUUUAUCACCCAAAUGAGAUAAAAGGAGUUGGUUAGGUUUGUUUUAUACGGGUGUAAACUGCUUUAAAAUUUGCACAGAACAACAUUUGUCUUGUACCGGACGCUUUGUUUAUUAAAUUUCAAUCAUUUUUGCCAAAA